This is a non-coding RNA of Oryctolagus cuniculus (rabbit), 3697 nucleotides long. The record is from RefSeq and is a predicted model, not a curated record. Lineage: Eukaryota; Metazoa; Chordata; Mammalia; Lagomorpha; Leporidae.
UGGCCACCUCACUUCCUCCGCCCAGCCCAGCCCAGCCCAGCCCGACUCCUCCCAGGCACACUUGGGCCAUUCUUCCUCUUUGCGUCCUGGAUGUGCGUCCAGCCCGCAGCAGCACGGGGCGUGGUAGAGCUCGCUGUCUUUGGUGCAGAUCGUGUUUUACUCCUUCCCAGGGCCCAUCUUGGGCGGGGCACAUAGCAGGUGUGUAGGCUCAUGGCACUGGGCGCACAUCAAACGCCUAGCAGCAGCUGACCUCAGGGGGCGGGGCCAAGGUCAAGGAGUCUCGCGAGGCCUGAAGGAGCGGGCCUUCUCUUCUUUCUACACAAAGGUGAGAGGUCACUUCCGCGUUUCCUUGCUUGCUGCUCUGCAUCCCGGUUUUCCUUGGGAUUUUCUUUAUCUCGGAAGGGAGCGUUCCCAAGACAAAAGGGAUCCCAAAGCUGCCUGGGGACGGCUUCUGCCCCGCGCCCAGGCCUCCUAGGCACGGUGCACCGCAUCCGUUUCCCGCCCAAGCUACAAAUCCUCAGCAUGAACUUUGUCAGAAUCUGCAUCAAAAACACUGGCUUGCCUGGGGUCUCCUCUCUUUCUUGGUUGCUGUAAGCCCACCUGUGUGAUGGAGUUUCUGCUUAGAAACAUCUGCUCUCCAGUAUGAAACAGACUCAGCAGUUCGCGCAUCAUCACAAGAUCUCAGAGCUUGCCCUGGGGGCAACGUUUGGUUCAGACCCGUAGCCCCUGAUGGUGUGCUAUGGAGUACCAUAUCAAAGGCAAGUAAAACAGAAGCCUUAAGCCAGAUGAAAACCCAGGUAAUUAGCAAAUUAGUCAAGUUUUCCAAAGAUCAAGCCAUCAGAAUCUCCAAGAUUGCUUGUUAAAAAAUACAGAUAUUGGGCAAUGUUGUGAUGGAGCAGGUUAAGCCACCAGCUGUGACACCAGUAUCCCAUGAGAACACUGGUUCCGUUCCUGAUGCCUCAGCUACGAUCCAGCUCCCUGCUAAUACGCCUGGGAAAGCAGCGGAUGAUGGCCCAAGUGCCUGGGCUGCUGAUACCCAUAAGGUACCUGAAUGUAGUUCCAGGCUUCUGACUUGGGCCUGGUCUGGCCCCAGCCACUGUGGCCAUCUGGAGAGUGAACUAAUGAAUGGAAGACCUAUCUCUCUUUUCUAUAUGUAUGUUUAUCUGUGUCUCCCUCUCUCUCUGUAACUCUGUCUUUCAAAUAAAUCUUAAAACACGCACAGAGAUACCUGCGUCUUUCUCAGAGCUGCUGAAUCAGGAUUACUGAGCUUGAGAUCUGCCACAUUCCACAUCAGCAAGUUGUCCCAUGAUUCUGAUGGAUGAUAGCUUAAAAACCAAUGUAAGAACUAUAAGGAUCACAGGGGGAAGACAUCCACUUAAACAGAUUAAAAUUGAUGUGGAGAGGCCCCAAGAUGGUGGAAUGGAGAGGGAGCUUACUGCUCUAGUCUAGGGGAAGAUAGUUAAAAAAAAAAAAAAAACUGGAGAGAGUGCAAUUUCAGGGAAGAGGUAGAGAGAAAACAGCAGAGGAAACUCCAUGCAAAUUAGAGGGGCACUGUGGAUCUAUGUGGAGGGUGUAGAUGCACACAACUCAUGACCCCAGCAGCUGAGAGCCUCAGCACCAGCUUUGGACAGUGAGCCUAAGCCACUGGUGAUAAAGCUUUGGGUAGAGUCUGGCAUGAGUCUGGCUUGGAGCCCUGUGGUGGACAGUAGAACUGCCAAUCUUGAGGAAAAGGGGGGGCACAUUUCUUUCUCCCCUACUACCCAGCACCAAUGUCCUGUUACUAGCCAAGAGUGGGUGGGUUUGUUUUGGACAAACGUAACAGCUGUGCCAGUUCAUGUCCAUGUGCUCAGCAACCAGCUGAGAGGAGACGCCUAAGUGUGGCUGGGAGAAUUGACAGGGGGCUGGGUGUUCAUGACUGUGGGAGCCUUGGGUGCUGGAACUGUGAAAACACUGUCACUGUAUGUGAGGGUGCAGGCUGUGGCAGGGUCUUUGGGCAGUCACUGUAGGUGGCUGCACAUGCUCAGGGCUCCCUGAUUCCCUGGUGAGGGUCAUUGCUGCAGGAUCCUGUGCUCACACCGAGGACUGCAUGGAUCCUCUGUGGUUCCUGUGUCAGUGUGGAUGAAUAUUGUAUCCACUGGGGCUAGUGCCCAGGUAUUAGUCUCCUUGGAGGAGAGAACAUAAGCAUGAGACUACACUAACAGAGCUGAAUAAACUUCCUCUGUGAUUAAAGAGAGAGGAGAUUCACCACGCCCAAUUUGGAAGUCAUCUUGGACUUUCCUCACCCAGAAGCAUCGAACAUAUCUCCGUGGCACUUGCCUCAGGGUGUUCACUAGAAGAGCAGACACUCCACUAAUCCACAGAGGCAUAGUCCAAAGGUAAAAUCCAUCUCAGGGGGAAAAAUAUAAACCAAAAAGUACCACAACAAAUGCCUAAAAAUAAACACAGCAAUUCAAGAAACAAGAAUAAGGAAGAAAGCAUGACUCCCCAGAAGGAACACAACAACAUUUUAAUACUAGAAUGUGAAAAUGAAGAGAUCAAAGAAAUGCCAAAAAUGGAAUUCAAAAAAUUGAUCAUAGGAUUACUUAGAACUAAUCAGAAGCAAAUGCAUGAACUAAUGAAAUCCAUGCAUGAUGUGAAAGAAAAUUUUUCUCAAGAAAUUGAGAUUUUAAAUAGAAAUCAAAAUGAAAUACUGGAAUUGAAGAAUUCAAUAGAACAAAUAAGAAAUGCAAUGGAAAGCCUUAACAACAGAAUCGGUGAGGUAGAAGAAAGAAUAUCUGAGUUAGAAGACAAAUCUCUGGAAGUUUUACAAUCAGACUGAAAACAAAGAAGAAAUUAGAAAACUAAAAAACAGUGUUGGAGAUCUAUGGGAUACUAUCAGAUGACCCAACAUGUGGAUCUUAGGAAUUUCUGAAGGUGUGGAAAGAGAGAAUGGAUUAGAAGGCAUUUUUAGUGAAAUAAUUACAGAAAACUUCCCCAAUUUGGAGAAAGAAAGAGAUGUCCAAGUACAGGAAACACAUAGAACUCCUAAUAGACAUGACACUAUAUAGUCAAACUCUCCACACACUGUCUUUUGUUGUACUUUUUUUUGCUGUCCUGUUAUAUCUCGAUCUUAAUUCUCAGUUUGUAUCUGACACUGGAUCAUAUCAUAAUGGACUUACCCUCUUUCCCCACAGGACAGCAGAAUCAGGGUAGCUGGCCCAGGACAUCUGGGCAUUUUAGCUGCUUUGGACAAUGCACAGAGUAGAGCAAUGGGCCCAGGUGAAUCUAUAGGCUGGUCCCUUGGUUCCCUAUAGCACCACUUGAGCAUGGCCUAUGCCCAUUGUUAAGAACUGGAUGGGAGCGGCUGGUGCCGCGGCUCACUAGGCUAAUCCUCCAUCUUGCGGCACCGGCACACCAGGUUCUAGUCCCGGUCAGGGCGCCAGAUUCUGUUCUGGUUGCCCCUCUUCCAGGCCAGCUCUCUGCUGUGGCCAGGGAGUGCAGUGGAGGUUGGCCCAAGUGCUUGGGCCCUGCACCCCAUGGGAGACCAGGAGAAGCACCUGGCUCCUGGCUUCGGAUCAGCGUGGUGCUCCGGCCGCAGAGCGCCGGCCGCGGCGGCCAUUGGAGGGUGAACCAAUAGCAAAGGAAGACCUUUCUCUCUGUCUCUCUCUCACUGUCCACUCUGCCUGUCAAAAAAAAAAAAAAAAAAGAAGAAGAAGAA